UACGGAAGGCAGCAGUGGGGAAUAUUGCACAAUGGGCGCAAGCCUGAUGCAGCCAUGCCGCGUGUAUGAAGAAGGCCUUCGGGUUGUAAAGUACUUUCAGUCGUGAGGAAGGUGUUAAGGUUAAUAACCUUAGCAAUUGACGUUAGCGACAGAAGAAGCACCGGCUAACUCCGUGCCAGCAGCCGCGGUAAUACGGAGGGUGCGAGCGUUAAUCGGAAUUACUGGGCGUAAAGGGCACGCAGGCGGUUAAUUAAGUUGGAUGUGAAAUCCCCGGGCUUAACCUGGGAAUGGCAUUCAAGACUGGUUAGCUAGAGUCUUGUAGAGGGGGUGAAGUUCCAUGUGUAGCGGUGAAAUGCGUAGAGAUGUGGAGGAAUACCGGUGGCGAAGGCGGCCCCUGGGACAAAGACUGACGCUCAUGUGCGAAAGCGUGGGGAGCGAAACAGGAUUAGAUACC
Molecule: ribosomal RNA, 454 nt
Filed under: uncultured bacterium
Lineage: Bacteria
Description: bacterial SSU rRNA
Rfam family: Bacterial small subunit ribosomal RNA
Source: RNAcentral